GAUGAACGCUGGCGGCGUGCCUAAUACAUGCAAGUCGAGCGAACAGAUGAGGAGCUUGCUCCUCUGACGCUAGCGGCGGACGGGUGAGUAACACGUGGAUAACCUACCUAUAAGACUGGGAUAACUUCGGGAAACCGGAGCUAAUACCGGAUAAUAUAUUGAACCGCAUGGUUCAAUAGUGAAAGACGGUUUUGCUGUCACUUAUAGAUGGAUCCGCGCCGCAUUAGCUAGUUGGUAAGGUAACGGCUUACCAAGGCAACGAUGCGUAGCCGACCUGAGAGGGUGAUCGGCCACACUGGAACUGAGACACGGUCCAGACUCCUACGGGAGGCAGCAGUAGGGAAUCUUCCGCAAUGGGCGAAAGCCUGACGGAGCAACGCCGCGUGAGUGAUGAAGGUCUUCGGAUCGUAAAACUCUGUUAGUAGGGAAGAACAAAUGUGUAAGUAACUAUGCACGUCUUGACGGUACCUAAUCAAAAAGCCACGGCUAACUACGUG
RNAcentral lists this ribosomal RNA (497 nucleotides) under uncultured bacterium. Its description in RNAcentral is "partial 16S ribosomal RNA". It matches the Rfam family "Bacterial small subunit ribosomal RNA", at positions 28 to 507 of the family's 1533-position model. The record is from RNAcentral.